This 459-nucleotide ribosomal RNA is filed under the name uncultured bacterium. RNAcentral's name for it is "partial 16S ribosomal RNA". It matches the Rfam family "Bacterial small subunit ribosomal RNA", at positions 338 to 795 of the family's 1533-position model. The record is from RNAcentral.
UCUACGGGUGGCAGCAGUGAGGAAUAUUGGUCAAUGGGCGCGAGCCUGAACCAGCCAAGCCGCGUGAGGGAAGACGGUCCUAUGGAUUGUAAACCUCUUUUGUCGGGGAGCAAAAGACGCCACGCGUGGCGUUCCGAGAGUACCCGAAGAAAAAGCAUGGGGUAACUCCGUGCCAGCAGCCGCGGUAAUACGGAGGAUGCGAGCGUCAUCCGGAUUUAUUGGGUUUAAAGGGUGCGCAGGCGGAAGAUCAAUUCAGAGGUAACAUUGAGGGGCUAAACCGCUAAGUGCCGUUGAAACUGGUUUUCUUGAGUGAGUGAGAAGUAUGCGGAAUGCGUGGGGUAGCGGGAGAAUGCAUAGAUAUCAGGAAGAACUCCGGUGGCGAAGGCGACUAUCUGGAACAUAACUGACGCUGAGGAGCGAAAGCGUGGGUAGCAAACAGGAUUAGAUACCCUAGUAGUC